CAUGUGACAACUAUCCUCAUCUGCAUAUGGACAGGUACGCUAUGGUGAGCGGGGUAGAGAGUUACCGGGCUGGGCGUGUGAAUGGAGGUUUAAAGUUCAUCGAGAAAUCUCCUAAGUAGCCCUAGGACAUCGUUAGUCUACAGCAAGAGGACUACUGUUUCAUACCGCCCCUUCACUUCGGAAAAUAGCUCAUUGUAAUCAACAGAGACAGGCACCCCUCACUGUCAGUCUGGCUGCUGUGUCCCCAUUGGUCCAGAUGUGAGAGCAGAGACCAGCAGUGUCACCUCUAACCCUCAGGGCCCGUCGUCAUGAAAAUGGUGUUGUCGUUACCAAGGCCGUCGUGGGGGUUGUGGUCUGUGUUAGUCCCAGGCCUGGCCCUACUGCUGUGCCUGGCCCUGGUCCUGAUGGGCUGUGUGAUCAGGAAGAAGAGAAGGAUGGAGGGAAUGUAUCGGCCCAGUGCGGAGGAGAGCAAACAGACAGGACCACGGGGGGCUGAGAGACCAGGCCUGCCCCUGCCCAAGGAGGAGAGACUCAUCUGAUACCUGCACUCUAGUCUGGACGCUACACACACACAAACUCUCUAUUCCUCCCUCUCUCUCUCACUACCAUUGCCUCACUCUCCUCUACCCUGGACAUGAAGCCAGAAUGGGUUAUUAGUAAGUAUGUAUUGUGUUGUGUAAAGUUAUCUGGAGAUGAAGUGUCUUGUUAAAUAUGCCAGAACAUGCCUGGUGGAUGUGCCAUGUUCUCUCCAGUUUCUCCAACUGUGCUGAUGUUGACAUCAGUGUGUCAACCGGUGAAUGCUGAAUGCCCUGUCAGGGUUGUGUUGUUUACCUGGAGGUGGACUAGAUGUUGACAUCAGUGUGUCAACCGGUGAAUGCUGAAUGCCCUGUCAGGGUUGUGUUGUUUACCUGGAGGUGGACUAGUUGUUGACAUGUUUACCUGUAGGUGGACUAGUUGUUGAUCAUACAGAGAAAAGGGAAUUUUAAAAGUUCCUCUAUAUGCAAAAUGUCUCUUUAUUGUGGCAGUCAUACUGUUACAUGUGUACAAACUAUUAUUUAAGUGUAUCCCGUGUAUAAAGCAUUAGUGUGUGUGUUUUUAUAUCUUGAAAAUGAAGAGAAGAAUGGUAAGGCACUAUGAAUGAUUUCUAAUGCACUUCUGAUGAUAUUAUCCAAGUGAAAAAAAAUAAAACUCCCCUCAAAAAGUAUAAAA
Molecule: long non-coding RNA, 1209 nt
Organism: Oncorhynchus keta (chum salmon)
Lineage: Eukaryota; Metazoa; Chordata; Actinopteri; Salmoniformes; Salmonidae
Exons: 3
Source: RefSeq, a predicted model, not a curated record